Molecule: non-coding RNA, 344 nt
Organism: Pimephales promelas (fathead minnow)
Lineage: Eukaryota; Metazoa; Chordata; Actinopteri; Cypriniformes; Leuciscidae
Source: RefSeq, a predicted model, not a curated record
UCAGUUUUGGAGGCUAAUUCGGUUACAUACAGACUUAACCUCCAUCUCUGAUUUUAAUUCUCUUUUUUGUUGUUUUGGCAGUGUUCUUGCCUGUUCUAAAAACAUGUUCUUUUGUUCUAACUACUGUUAAGGUUUGAAUAUACCAGUGGUGAGGCUCUGCCGCAGCCUCCAACAACAUCGGCUCCUGUGUGUAGGCCUUCUUCACAGGGUGAAGGCUUUGCACCACCUCACGCAGCACAAUCAGCACCCACACCUGCACCAAUGCCGUCUGCACUGACUGAAACCCCUGUUCCCAGCUACUUGAAGAAAAAAAUUAUGCCACAGCCUUCACCAGCAUCACAUGC